Molecule: transfer RNA, 85 nt
Filed under: Mariniblastus sp.
Lineage: Bacteria; Pseudomonadati; Planctomycetota; Planctomycetia; Pirellulales; Pirellulaceae
Description: tRNA-Ser
Source: RNAcentral
GGAAGGCAUCCGGCUGGAUGAGGAGACUGUCUUGAAAACAGUUGGCGGAUCAAACCGCUUCGGGGUUCGAGUCCCUGGUCUUCCG